RNAcentral lists this ribosomal RNA (444 nucleotides) under Salmonella enterica subsp. enterica serovar Kottbus. Its description in RNAcentral is "bacterial SSU rRNA". It matches the Rfam family "Bacterial small subunit ribosomal RNA", at positions 1101 to 1533 of the family's 1533-position model. The record is from RNAcentral. Lineage: Bacteria; Pseudomonadati; Pseudomonadota; Gammaproteobacteria; Enterobacterales; Enterobacteriaceae.
ACCCUUAUCCUUUGUUGCCAGCGGUUAGGCCGGGAACUCAAAGGAGACUGCCAGUGAUAAACUGGAGGAAGGUGGGGAUGACGUCAAGUCAUCAUGGCCCUUACGACCAGGGCUACACACGUGCUACAAUGGCGCAUACAAAGAGAAGCGACCUCGCGAGAGCAAGCGGACCUCAUAAAGUGCGUCGUAGUCCGGAUUGGAGUCUGCAACUCGACUCCAUGAAGUCGGAAUCGCUAGUAAUCGUGGAUCAGAAUGCCACGGUGAAUACGUUCCCGGGCCUUGUACACACCGCCCGUCACACCAUGGGAGUGGGUUGCAAAAGAAGUAGGUAGCUUAACCUUCGGGAGGGCGCUUACCACUUUGUGAUUCAUGACUGGGGUGAAGUCGUAACAAGGUAACCGUAGGGGAACCUGCGGUUGGAUCACCUCCUUACCUUAAAGAAGC